RNAcentral lists this ribosomal RNA (676 nucleotides) under uncultured Flavobacterium sp. RNAcentral's name for it is "bacterial SSU rRNA". It matches the Rfam family "Bacterial small subunit ribosomal RNA", at positions 45 to 722 of the family's 1533-position model. The record is from RNAcentral. Lineage: Bacteria; Pseudomonadati; Bacteroidota; Flavobacteriia; Flavobacteriales; Flavobacteriaceae.
GGCUUAACACAUGCAAGUCGAGGGGUAUUAGUUUUCGGACUAAGAGACCGGCGCACGGGUGCGUAACGCGCAUGCAAUCUACCUUUUACAGAGGGAUAGCCCAGAGAAAUUUGGAUUAAUACCUCAUAGUAUAGCAGUUUCGCAUGAAACCACUAUUAAAGUCACAACGGUAAAAGAUGAGCAUGCGUCCCAUUAGCUAGUUGGUAAGGUAACGGCUUACCAAGGCUACGAUGGGUAGGGGUCCUGAGAGGGAGAUCCCCCACACUGGUACUGAGACACGGACCAGACUCCUACGGGAGGCAGCAGUGAGGAAUAUUGGACAAUGGGCGCAAGCCUGAUCCAGCCAUGCCGCGUGCAGGAUGACGGUCCUAUGGAUUGUAAACUGCUUUUGUACGAGAAGAAACACUCCUAUGUAUAGGAGCUUGACGGUAUCGUAAGAAUAAGGAUCGGCUAACUCCGUGCCAGCAGCCGCGGUAAUACGGAGGAUCCAAGCGUUAUCCGGAAUCAUUGGGUUUAAAGGGUCCGUAGGCGGUUUAGUAAGUCAGUGGUGAAAGCCCAUCGCUCAACGGUGGAACGGCCAUUGAUACUGCUGAACUUGAAUUAUUAGGAAGUAACUAGAAUAUGUAGUGUAGCGGUGAAAUGCUUAGAGAUUACAUGGAAUACCAAUUGCGAAGGC